AUGGGGGCAACCCUGAUCCAGCCAUGCCGCGUGCAGGAUGAAGGCCUUCGGGUUGUAAACUGCUUUUGUACGGAACGAAAAGCUCUCCUCUAAUAAAGGGGGGUCAUGACGGUACCGUAAGAAUAAGCACCGGCUAACUACGUGCCAGCAGCCGCGGUAAU
RNAcentral lists this ribosomal RNA (161 nucleotides) under uncultured bacterium. RNAcentral's name for it is "partial 16S ribosomal RNA". It matches the Rfam family "Bacterial small subunit ribosomal RNA", at positions 371 to 524 of the family's 1533-position model. The record is from RNAcentral.